UACAGAGGUGCCAAGCGUUAGGCGGAAUCACUGGGCUUAAAGCGUGUGUAGGCGGAUUUGUAAGUACCUUGUGAAAUCCCACAGCUCAACUGUGGAACUGCUGGGUAUACUGCUUAUCUUGAGCCACUUAGGGGCUGUCGGAACAAAUGGUGGAGCGGUGAAAUGCGUAGAUAUCAUUUGGAACGCCAACGGUGAAAACAGACAGCUGGGAGUGUGCUGACGCUGAGACACGAAAGCCAGGGGAGCGAACGGG
RNAcentral lists this ribosomal RNA (253 nucleotides) under uncultured bacterium. RNAcentral's name for it is "partial 16S ribosomal RNA". It matches the Rfam family "Bacterial small subunit ribosomal RNA", at positions 524 to 776 of the family's 1533-position model. The record is from RNAcentral.